Molecule: long non-coding RNA, 585 nt
Filed under: Mytilus galloprovincialis (Mediterranean mussel)
Lineage: Eukaryota; Metazoa; Mollusca; Bivalvia; Mytilida; Mytilidae
Source: RNAcentral
GUGUUUGAAAGUGUCCAAAAUUAAUGAAUUACAUUAAAUGCGUAUACCAAUUUGAUAAAAUUCAUUUUUCUGCCGUAGUCAAUAUACGCAUAUGUAAACUAAUUUUAUUGGAUAAUAAAGUAUGGUUUCUUUAUAAAGCUAAAGAAGCACGUCAUAUUAGAAUUGUACAUCUGUCUCUAUCCGGGACCCUGCAUUUCAGUGGUUGUCGACGAUUAAUGUCUAUCAUAUUUGUUUUUCGUAAACUAAAUUGUCACAAAUAAGCCGUUAGUUUUUUUCACGUUUGAAUUGUUUGACAUUUUUCAUGUCAGUAAAUAGACAAAUUAAGGAAGAUGUGAUAUGAGUGCCAAUGAGACAACUCUCCAUCAAAAUCACAAUUUAAAAUAGAUGUUUAAACACGAAUACACAGUGUGGUUUGGGUCUUUAUCAGACGGUGACCUAUAAUGCAUACAUUCACGUUAUUUGAAAUCUGUUUCAACCCUGGUGUAUAUAUUGUCUCGUCAGCAAUCAUAUCCCACAUCUUCAUUUUGUUAAUAAAAAAACCAAAACUUUCGCAUAAAUUCCUUGAAAGACAUUAUAAUAACUACA